GUGUGGAUCCGAAAUUUGUAGCAGCUGUGGAACCAUUGCUCUUGAGAAACAAGGUUGAUUUAGCAGUGUGGGGGCAUGUUCACAAUUACCUGCGAACUUGUGCUGUGUUUCAGGGCGCUGCCUGCAGCACCCGAUCAAGGAUUUAGCAGGCGUCGAUUUCUUUGACACUACAAUUUACUCAGCUCCAGUUCACACCGUGGUUGGCAUGGCUGAAUUCACCUUGGAUGACUUCCCUCAUAAUUUUAGUUCAUGGAGCUUGAUUCGAAGGUCGGCAUUUGGAUAUGCAAGAGUGACAGCUGAUAAGACAAAGCUACUGUUUGAGGUAGAUGAAUUGCGUUCUUGGUUCUUGCAUGUUACUUAUUUAUUUUUCAUUCCAGUACAUUACAACGGACGGACAGUAGCUGACCGAUUUAAAAUUGCCAGGCUAGAUUGGGGAUUUUCCAGGCCAUGAACGAUUUCAAGCUUUACAAGUUCAAUAG
Molecule: long non-coding RNA, 479 nt
Organism: Selaginella moellendorffii
Lineage: Eukaryota; Viridiplantae; Streptophyta; Lycopodiopsida; Selaginellales; Selaginellaceae
Exons: 3
Source: RefSeq, a predicted model, not a curated record